This 497-nucleotide ribosomal RNA is filed under the name uncultured bacterium. Its description in RNAcentral is "partial 16S ribosomal RNA". It matches the Rfam family "Bacterial small subunit ribosomal RNA", at positions 28 to 507 of the family's 1533-position model. The record is from RNAcentral.
GAUGAACGCUGGCGGCGUGCCUAAUACAUGCAAGUCGAGCGAACAGACGAGGAGCUUGCUCCUCUGACGUUAGCGGCGGACGGGUAAGUAACACGUGGAUAACCUACCUAUAAGACUGGGAUAACUUCGGGAAACAUGAGCUAAGACCGGGUAAUAUAUUGAACCGCAUGGUUCAAUAAUAAAAGACGGUGUUGCUGUCACUUAUAUAUUGAUACGCGCCUCAUUAGCUAGUUGGUAAGGUAACGGCUUACCAAGGGAACGAUGCGUAGCCGACCUGGGAGGGUGAUCGGCCCCGCCGGAACGGGGGCACGGCCACGAGUCCUACGGGAGGCGGCAGUAGGGAAUCCUCCGGAAUGGGCGGAAGCCUGACGGAGCAACGCCGCGUGAGUGAUGAAGGUAUUCGGAUCGCAAAACUAUGUUAUUAGGGAAGAAAAAUUGUGUAAGUAACUAUGCAAGUAUUGACGGUACCUACUCAGAAAGCCACGGCUAACUACGUG